RNAcentral lists this ribosomal RNA (109 nucleotides) under Paludibacteraceae bacterium. Lineage: Bacteria; Pseudomonadati; Bacteroidota; Bacteroidia; Bacteroidales; Paludibacteraceae. The record is from RNAcentral.
UAAGGUGGUUAUAGCAGUGGGGUUCCACCUCUUCCCAUUCCGAACAGAGAAGUUAAGCCCACUAACGCCGAUGGUACUGCGCAAGUGGGAGAGUAGGUAGCCGCCGUUU